UACGAAGGGGGCUAGCGUUGCUCGGAAUCACUGGGCGUAAAGGGCGCGUAGGCGGACUUUUAAGUCAGGGGUGAAAUCCUGAGGCUCAACCUCGGAACUGCCUUUGAUACUGGGGAUCUCGAGUCCGGGAGAGGUGAGUGGAACUGCGAGUGUAGAGGUGAAAUUCGUAGAUAUUCGCAAGAACACCAGUGGCGAAGGCGGCUCACUGGCCCGGUACUGACGCUGAGGUGCGAAAGCGUGGGGAGCAAACAGG
RNAcentral lists this ribosomal RNA (253 nucleotides) under uncultured bacterium. RNAcentral's name for it is "partial 16S ribosomal RNA". It matches the Rfam family "Bacterial small subunit ribosomal RNA", at positions 524 to 776 of the family's 1533-position model. The record is from RNAcentral.